UCUCGUACCUUGAAUUGUUUAGAUAUUCAGCUUAGGAUCUGUAUCCUUGUUUUGCCAUUCAUUACUGUGUAACAGAUAUCUUCUUUGGAGAAGAUGGCCCAGUACUUUCCACUGAGCAGGCAAGUAUAACUGCAGCCGCAUAGGUGAGACUGAGCAUUCCUAUGCACUCCUACUUGUCUCUGGCUGAACUCACAGGGAGCUGUCUAGAGCCAUGGAAAUGGAUUGACGAAUGCAACAGUCCUUAGGUUCUAGCUGAGCCCUCAAAUUAUGAAGUAAGGACACGAUGCAAACUUCUUAGUCUCUGCAGCAUGUGUACGCCAAGAAAACAAUCAAGACCCAUGGGAAUACCUAAAGGAACUAGAACAGUUUGGCUCAGUUUCAGUAUUGAGUGCAUGAAUGCUUUACCCCAAGAAUAAAAAGUGUAAGACAAUAAAUCUCUAGGGCAGCUGUGACAGUUCUUUGCAAGAACAUGAAGGUCUGAACAUUGUAGUUGCAACCAAAAAGCUUGAAAAAACAACAAACUAUUAGAUGUCCCCAUUAAUGGAGCAGGAUCUCAUGACAGCUACAGAUCUGUUGUGAUUAAGAUGAAGUAAGGCAGAGUGUUUUUGAUUCACCAGAUGAACCAUUUACCCAGAAGCACUAGGAAAAUGUAAUGUCUGAGACAGAAGAGUCCUCCUGCAAAUGCAGGAUGAAGACAUAAGGACUCUCUGCUGUGGCAGAUAUAAAAUCUGUGAGUGCAACCAGUACAUGCAGU
This is a long non-coding RNA of Tympanuchus pallidicinctus (lesser prairie-chicken), 754 nucleotides long. RefSeq lists it as uncharacterized. The record is from RefSeq and is a predicted model, not a curated record. The transcript has 3 exons. Lineage: Eukaryota; Metazoa; Chordata; Aves; Galliformes; Phasianidae.